UAAAUGUCCUGUGUUCGAACGUUUGCUGUACGAUACCGACUACCGACAUUCUGAAUGAAUAUGAUCAUCGUAGUCGUGUGAACUUUCACUUUUUAUAAAUAAAUAUUCGCGGUAACGUUUAUGUCAAGUGCAUUCGAAGAAGUUCGCGACAAAAGUAAAGUGCCAAGUGAACAAUGUCACUAAAUUUUAAGAUGUCAACGUUAACGACCUUUUUAGUAAUUUGUUUAGUUAUAGUUUAUUGUAAAAGUGAAAAAGAGUCUACAACUAGACAAUCUAUAGCAGAUGAGACCAUAGAGACUACCUUAAAUGAUAAGAGAUAUCUUCAAAGACAAUUGAAAUGUGCUCUAGGAGAAUCUGCGUGUGAUCCAGUUGGGCGACGUAUUAAAAGCCUGGCACCUUUAGUUCUAAGAGGAUCUUGCCCCCAGUGUAGUGAGAAGGAAGUGAAGCAAAUUAAGAAAGUUUUAUCCUAUGUCCAAAUCAACUAUCCAAAAGAAUGGAACAAAAUGCUGCAACAGUACGCAUCUGGAUAGAUAAAUUAGAAUACCCUUUGGAAUAAUAAAAUUUUGAAUUUUUAUAUACAUUGGAAUAAACUGGCAUAUAAAUUAUACCAAAAAACACAAAUACGUACCUGGACGUAUUACACUUAAAAUAUACCUAUAAUCAAAUAUUUUUGUUAAUGUUUAAUUAAAAAUUGAAAAAAAUCAAGGUCUGUUCGGGGAAAAGUCGGCUAAAUUGUACCAAAUAAUUAUUUGUUCUUACUACCUUACUGUUUCAGAUUUAUAGUUAUGAACGCAAUUUUAUCAACUUAUUCGGGACCUUUAGUUCCAAACUAUUAGCAGCUUCAAGGUUAAUAUACAACUAUUAAACGUGAUAGUGCAUAAAUGUUUUAAGUUAAGAAACGCACGUGAAUGCUCUUUUGGCAUGCUCUAUAUCGAGAUAUAUACAGAGUUCACAAGUAUACGAUCAAAAGUACAUCUUUUUGAUAAUAUCUGAAAAAGUAAAAUUUGGUAAGAAAUGUUAGGAGUUUUUGUUGAUAUUUUUGGUUGGCCCAAUAUUGUUAGUUUUUAUUGAUUGUUUAAACUACCUUUUUAUUUCCGAAUUUACGGGAUCAAUCCAUGGAGUUCUUCCCCAUAUUUACUUUAGCCUUCAACGAGUUUUAUUAUAAGUACUAAAAACUUACUCCAUAUUUUAACAGACAUAGUUCGUACAGAAUUUUAACAUUUUAAUAAUUGUAAAAUAUGGUACAAUUUAUUCGAAUUAAAUUAUAUGUAUCCUAUGAUCUAAAAGUUUUUUGAUCCAGCAUGCUUCGUAUGAUCACAGAUAAAUAUUUUAUAUAAAAAGUAUUUUUUGAGUAUCAAUUCCAAAGCCUGCCUGGUUAUAAAACUUUUUGAUCGUAAUAUCUUACUACAAUAUAUAAUAUUGUAAUACCUAAGAAGAAUUUAUAUAAAAAGAAUCUAUUAUAUUAUUACAUUAUCAGAUUUAAUUAACACUUUAUCUGUCAUUGUUAUAGCACUGAUAACGAAUGUUUCACUAUAUACUGUUUGUACUGCAUAUACUGUAAUUCAUAAAUGUAUAGUUUUAAUAAAUUAAUGUAAAUUAGGCUUGUACAUA
RNAcentral lists this unclassified non-coding RNA (1611 nucleotides) under Sitophilus oryzae (rice weevil). Its description in RNAcentral is "ejaculatory bulb-specific protein 3-like, transcript variant X2". The record is from RNAcentral. Lineage: Eukaryota; Metazoa; Arthropoda; Insecta; Coleoptera; Curculionidae.